CUAUGCGCCUUGCCAGCCCGCUCAGGUGUGCCAGCAGCCGCGGUAAUACGUAGGGGCAAGCGUUAUCCGGAUUUACUGGGUGUAAAGGGAGCGUAGACGGCAGUGCAAGUCUGGAGUGAAAGGCGGGGGCUCAACCCCCGGACUGCUCUGGAAACUGUACAGCUGGAGUGCAGGAGAGGUAAGUGGAAUUCCUAGUGUAGCGGUGAAAUGCGUAGAUAUUAGGAGGAACACCAGUGGCGAAGGCGGCUUACUGGACUGUAACUGACGUUGAGGCUCGAAAGCGUGGGGAGCAAACAGG
RNAcentral lists this ribosomal RNA (298 nucleotides) under uncultured bacterium. Its description in RNAcentral is "partial 16S ribosomal RNA". It matches the Rfam family "Bacterial small subunit ribosomal RNA", at positions 475 to 776 of the family's 1533-position model. The record is from RNAcentral.